AUGGAGGAUUCCAAGGGGAGCGACGGCGGCGGCGAGAGGCCCGGCGCCGACCACAACCCUAUCCCGGAUCAGCCGCCGCCGCUCGCUGCUCCCGGAGGAGGGCGCGAUGCCGCCGCGGCUGCUGCUGCUGCUGCGGCGGCGGCGGCGGCCUUGGCCGAGGACGAGGCGCGGCGCCCGUUCACGGCCCUCAGCCAGGUCGACGCCGACCUAGCCCUGGCGCGCGUCCUCCAGGAGCAGGAACGGGCGUAUAUGAUGCUCCGGAUGAACGGAGUCGGCGGCGGCGGCGGCGAGGGCAGCGACUACGGGAGCUCGGAGGCCGGGAGCUACGAGUACGACGAGGAUGCCGAGGAGGACUACGAGGAGGAGCUCGAGAACCACCUCCGCGUCCACCACCACGAGCACCCAGGCGGUGGCGAGGGCGAUGGGGACGAUGAUCUCGAGGCUGAUGGCGAGGGCAAGGGUGAGGGCGAGGGUGACGGUUCUGAAGAGAGCGAGUACGAGGAGGAGGGGUUCGAUGAGGACGAGGAGGUGGAGGAUGUGGAUCUAGACCCGGCAGAGUACGAGGACGACGAGGCUUAUGCGCGGGCGCUUCAGGACGCUGAGGAGCGUGAGGUUGCCGCGCGGCUUAUGGCUCUCGCUGGGAUCAGCGAUUGGCGGGCGGUGGAGCAUGUCGAGGAUCAGAUAAACGACGCGCAGGAUUCAUGGCAAGAGGUUGAUCCAGAUGAGUACUCUUAUGAGGAGUUAGUUGCAUUGGGUGAAGUAGUUGGCACAGAAAGUAGAGGUCUCUCUGCUGAUACACUUGCUUCCUUACCUUCAGUAACUUACAAGACAAAAGAUAUGCAAGAUGGCAACACAGAACAAUGUGUAAUUUGUCGUGUGGAAUUUGAGGAAGGUGAAUCUUUGGUUGCACUUCCCUGCAAUCAUUCAUACCAUCCUGACUGCAUUAAUCAGUGGCUUCAAAUAAAUAAGGUAUGCCCUAUGUGUAGCGCAGAAGUUUCUACCUCAGCAAGCAAGCAGGCAUGA
RNAcentral lists this ribosomal RNA (1023 nucleotides) under Triticum aestivum (bread wheat). RNAcentral describes it as "partial small subunit ribosomal RNA". Lineage: Eukaryota; Viridiplantae; Streptophyta; Magnoliopsida; Poales; Poaceae. The record is from RNAcentral.